GGGGGCAUAGCUCAGUCGGUAGAGCACCGCCCUUUUAAGGCGGGCGUCGAUGGUUCGAAUCCAUCUGCCCUCA
RNAcentral lists this transfer RNA (73 nucleotides) under Planctomycetota bacterium. Its description in RNAcentral is "Planctomycetes bacterium (freshwater metagenome) tRNA-Lys". It matches the Rfam family "tRNA". From Rfam's summary of the family: Transfer RNA (tRNA) molecules are approximately 80 nucleotides in length. Their secondary structure includes four short double-helical elements and three loops (D, anti-codon, and T loops). Lineage: Bacteria; Pseudomonadati; Planctomycetota. The record is from RNAcentral.